AGUGCAAGGGAGCCGGGAGUCAAAGAAAGCAGAGGAAGAAAGGAAAGAUCUGCGAGGCUGCUCAGCAGUGAAAUCCUACUGGCUUUGUGCAAAGGGGAAAGACUCCCUUCUUUCCAGGUGCCAGAGGGACCUGAGCAAGUCUACCGGCCCGGCGCUCCUCCCCACCAGGACCCCAAGGGUGUCUGAGUGCUGACCGCCGCUCCCCCAUCAAUUCCUCGUGGCCAAGAGAGGAAGCGCGCCAGAUUGAAAGCUCCUAUCAACUGCUAGCUUUCCGAGGCUGCUAUAAAUAUCUUCCUCGACGUGAAGGUACCUUGUGGGCUGGCGUGGUUCGGAAGAGCGGGGACGAGGACCGCCCUCCCCUCCCCCUUGCUCCCUCCCCAGGCGCGGAGACGCAGCGGCAAGGAAGGAGCGGAGGUCAGAGGAAACCUGGGGUUUCCAGGGUUUUCGCGGUCGGGGGAAUGAGCCCUGGGGAGGAGCCUUGCGCCAGCGCCAGCGCGCCCCAACACGCCUCCGACCUCGUAAACCCACUUGGCACAGGCCGGGGAAGCCGCUGGCGGAGCGGCUGCGGUGAACUCCAGAAAUGAACCUGCGGCACGGCGCGACGCCACGGGCUACCACCCUGGCCAACACUCACCUCGAGCGACCGACAUUGAGAGAGCUCCGGACGCGGCCGCAGGGGACCUUGCUCCGCCCUCUCGUCCCAGGAGAAGAGGACAAAAAAGGGGGGGUGGGGGAGAUGGACUUGGAGAUGGCCCCGCCCUUCAAACGCUCCAAUCCUUGGAAACCAAACCUCCUCUCCAAGCUACCACGUCUAGAAGGGACAAAGACUGCCAGGAGAUCCUGGCGCUGAUGGGGAGAUGAUGGCUCCUCGCGCUUCUAGGGAGGGUUGCUUUGGGGUGCUUUUGACUUUACAUCCCAAAUAGGUCACCAAAGAAGGAAUGGAUGAUCUGUAGAGGACAAACUGAACCUUCUGGUAAAGAAGCAAGCUGACUUUCCAAAGCUGAGAAGCAAACAAUUGUAAAACUCCGGCGUAGACUACAAUUUCUAUUCAUGAUGCUACUGUCUCUUUUGGCUUUACUACUUUUAGAAGUUCCAAGUUCCCUAACUCCCCACCUAAAAUAAAUGAAGGACAUAAAGCCUAAAGUGGGGGAAAUUGCACUGUUUGGGGUGGGGGUGGGGCGAAGGUGGGACAUUGAGGGGAAGCCCCGUGGCUGGAGGAUUUGGUGAAUGCCUUAAUAAACUUGGUACUUAAGUAACUGUAA
Molecule: long non-coding RNA, 1262 nt
Organism: Mus musculus (house mouse)
Lineage: Eukaryota; Metazoa; Chordata; Mammalia; Rodentia; Muridae
Product: predicted gene 8364
Exons: 2
Source: RefSeq, marked validated